Molecule: transfer-messenger RNA, 346 nt
Filed under: bovine gut metagenome
Rfam family: transfer-messenger RNA
About the family: Bacterial tmRNA, also known as 10Sa RNA or SsrA, is named for its dual tRNA and mRNA-like properties. Its role is to liberate the mRNA from a stalled ribosome.
Source: RNAcentral
GGGGGUGUAAAGGCUUCGACGGGGGCUGCGAGCCGAGGUAAGCGAGCAGCGGUGCGGAACCGCUUUAAAAGCCGCACUUUUAAAAUUAAACGACAACGAAACAGUUGCCUUAGCAGCCUAAGCGCUGCUCGUUCUGCCCGAGAGGACCACGGCUCGGGUAAGGGCGUCGAUUAGUGGUGAACGCGAUCGGGUACACUCCUUUAACCUGAUCGUGUACUAAAGGAUACCGAGUGCAGAAGCCCUUCGCCGGGCGUCUGCGCAAGGGAAUUUCAAAACGGCGAAUACGCUCGUAGAAAGCUUCGGUAAACUACCUUCGGACAGGGGUUCGACUCCCCUCACCUCCACU